Molecule: transfer RNA, 60 nt
Filed under: Leptaulax koreanus
Lineage: Eukaryota; Metazoa; Arthropoda; Insecta; Coleoptera; Passalidae
Description: tRNA-Ala
Source: RNAcentral
AGGAUAAUAGUUAAUACAUAACAUUUAAAUUGCAAUUAAAAAUAACGAAUAGUUUAUCUU